Molecule: ribosomal RNA, 1246 nt
Filed under: Phytoplasma sp.
Lineage: Bacteria; Bacillati; Mycoplasmatota; Mollicutes; Acholeplasmatales; Acholeplasmataceae
Description: bacterial SSU rRNA
Rfam family: Bacterial small subunit ribosomal RNA
Source: RNAcentral
GAAACGACUGCUAAGACUGGAUAGGAGACAAGAAGGCAUCUUCUUGUUUUUAAAAGACCUAGCAAUAGGUAUGCUUAGGGAGGAGCUUGCGUCACAUUAGUUAGUUGGUGGGGUAAAGGCCUACCAAGACUAUGAUGUGUAGCCGGGCUGAGAGGUUGAACGGCCACAUUGGGACUGAGACACGGCCCAAACUCCUACGGGAGGCAGCAGUAGGGAAUUUUCGGCAAUGGAGGAAACUCUGACCGAGCAACGCCGCGUGAACGAUGAAGUAUUUCGGUACGUAAAGUUCUUUUAUUAGGGAAGAAUAAAUGAUGGAAAAAUCAUUCUGACUGUACCUAAUGAAUAAGCCCCGGCUAACUAUGUGCCAGCAGCCGCGGUAAUACAUAGGGGGCAAGCGUUAUCCGGAAUUAUUGGGCGUAAAGGGUGCGUAGGCGGUUAAAUAAGUUUAUGGUCUAAGUGCAAUGCUCAACAUUGUGAUGCUAUAAAAACUGUUUAGCUAGAGUAAGAUAGAGGCAAGUGGAAUUCCAUGUGUAGUGGUAAAAUGCGUAAAUAUAUGGAGGAACACCAGUAGCGAAGGCGGCUUGCUGGGUCUUUACUGACGCUGAGGCACGAAAGCGUGGGGAGCAAACAGGAUUAGAUACCCUGGUAGUCCACGCCGUAAACGAUGAGUACUAAACGUUGGGUAAAACCAGUGUUGAAGUUAACACAUUAAGUACUCCGCCUGAGUAGUACGUACGCAAGUAUGAAACUUAAAGGAAUUGACGGGACUCCGCACAAGCGGUGGAUCAUGUUGUUUAAUUCGAAGGUACCCGAAAAACCUCACCAGGUCUUGACAUGCUUUUGCAAAGCUGUAGAAACACAGUGGAGGUUAUCAGUUGCACAGGUGGUGCAUGGUUGUCGUCAGCUCGUGUCGUGAGAUGUUGGGUUAAGUCCCGCAACGAGCGCAACCCUUAUUGUUAGUUACCAGCACGUAAUGGUGGGGACUUUAGCAAGACUGCCAGUGAUAAAUUGGAGGAAGGUGGGGACGACGUCAAAUCAUCAUGCCCCUUAUGACCUGGGCUACAAACGUGAUACAAUGGCUGUUACAAAGGGUAGCUGAAGCGCAAGUUUUUGGCGAAUCUCAAAAAAACAGUCUCAGUUCGGAUUGAAGUUUGCAACUUGACUUCAUGAAGUUGGAAUCGCUAGUAAUCGCGAAUCAGCAUGUCGCGGUGAAUACGUUCUCGGGGUUUGUACACACCGCCCGUCA